UUUGGUUCCUAGUUAAAAAAGAAGGAAGAAAAAAGAGCUCUCCUGUCUGCAAGACUUUCUUCCAAGUCACUGACGACCAUUCUGCAAUCUCUGACGCUGGCAUUUGAUGUUCACACAUGUGCAAAGUAGGCUCCACACCCAGCGUGAAGCCCAGUGCAGGGCUGGAACUCACAACGGUGAGAUCAAGACCUGAGCUGAGACCAAGAGUCGGACACCUAGCCAACUGAGCCACCCAGUAGCUCUUACCAUAUGUCCAGUUCAGAGGAAUACUCAGUGGCUCCCAGCAAGGCAUCAGGAGGCCGAUACCAGAGGGUCACA
Molecule: long non-coding RNA, 318 nt
Organism: Mirounga angustirostris (Northern elephant seal)
Lineage: Eukaryota; Metazoa; Chordata; Mammalia; Carnivora; Phocidae
Exons: 3
Source: RefSeq, a predicted model, not a curated record